RNAcentral lists this ribosomal RNA (486 nucleotides) under uncultured bacterium. RNAcentral's name for it is "partial 16S ribosomal RNA". It matches the Rfam family "Bacterial small subunit ribosomal RNA", at positions 28 to 507 of the family's 1533-position model. The record is from RNAcentral.
GAUGAACGCUGGCGGCGUGCCUAAUACAUGCAGGUCGAACGCUGGAAAUCUAGCUUGCUAGAUUGAAGGAGUGGCGAACGGGUGAGUAAUACAUAAGCAACCUACCCACGAAGACUGGGAUAAUCUCUGGAAACGGGGACUAAUACCGGAUAGGUAAUCGGAAGGCAUCUUCUGAUUAUUAAAGGUUAAAAACACUGGUGGAUGGGCUUAUGGCGCAUUAGUUAGUUGGUGAGGUAACGGCCCACCAAGACGAUGAUGCGUAGCCGGCCUGAGAGGGUGAACGGCCACAUUGGGACUGAGACACGGCCCAGACUCCUACGGGAGGCAGCAGUAGGGAAGUUUCGGCAAUGGGGGAAACCCUGACCGAGCAACGCCGCGUGAGUGAUGACGGCCUUCGGGUUGUAAAGCUCUGUUGUAAGAGAAGAACGGUAGAUAGAGAAUAUCUAAAUGACGGUACCUUACCAGAAAGCCACGGCUAACUACGUG